AAAACAUUUCAACACUUCACUUUACUAAAAAGUCGUGGUGAAUCCAGACCGUAAUGAGCUUCUUGUUUAUUACAAUAGUCACUUUGUUAAUAAUUUACAUACUACAGCGCCGAUGCCUUCGGGAUCAGCAUGCAAAGUAUUUGGUAUUAGUUUACCGAUUCUGGAAUGUAAGGCUAAUUGUCAAAGUUCUCUUAUAUUAUACAACUUCGGGGAGUGUGAGAAUGGACUUUCGUGCUGUGUUCCAAGUCCUUGAAACUGUAGUUGGUAAAAAUCAAUAAAUAUAAAUGAUCGUCAAUUGACGAAGAUCUGGAUUGUGCUGUGGUUUAGUGAGUUGCACUAGUGUGUUGGAUUGGUUCACGUCAAAAAGUUGACCACUGUUGCAGGUUCUGCAUGCAGGUGAUAUUGUAUAUAGUCUUAAUAAACAUAUUUUUCCAAAAUAUAACAUA
Molecule: long non-coding RNA, 446 nt
Organism: Photinus pyralis (common eastern firefly)
Lineage: Eukaryota; Metazoa; Arthropoda; Insecta; Coleoptera; Lampyridae
Exons: 3
Source: RefSeq, a predicted model, not a curated record